UCAGCUCGUCUUCAAG
This 16-nucleotide small RNA is filed under the name Arabidopsis thaliana (thale cress). Its description in RNAcentral is "ATSL022810". Lineage: Eukaryota; Viridiplantae; Streptophyta; Magnoliopsida; Brassicales; Brassicaceae. The record is from RNAcentral.